CCUACGGGUGGCAGCAGUGAGGAAUAUUGGUCAAUGGACGAGAGUCUGAACCAGCCAAGUAGCGUGAAGGAUGACUGCCCUAUGAGUUGUAAACUUCUUUUAUAAAGGAAUAAAACCAGGCACGUGUGCCUUUUUGCAUGUACUUUAUGAAUAAGGAUCGGCUAACUCCGUGCCAGCAGCCGCGGUAAUACGGAGGAUCCGAGCGUUAUCCGGAUUGAUUGGGUUUAAAGGGAGCGUAGAUGGGUUGUUAAGUCAGUUGUGAAAGUUGGCGGCUCAACCGUAAAAUUGCAAUUGAUACUGGAAGGCUUGAGUACAGUUGAGGUAGGCGGAAUUCGUGGUGUAGCGGUGAAAUGCUUAGAGAUCACGAAGAACCCCGAUUGCGAAGGCAGCUUACUAAACUGUGACUGACAUUGAUGCUCGAAAGUGUGGGUAUCAAACAGGAUUAGAUACCCCAGUAGUC
RNAcentral lists this ribosomal RNA (460 nucleotides) under uncultured bacterium. Its description in RNAcentral is "partial 16S ribosomal RNA". It matches the Rfam family "Bacterial small subunit ribosomal RNA", at positions 338 to 795 of the family's 1533-position model. The record is from RNAcentral.